This is a non-coding RNA of Mycena polygramma, 100 nucleotides long. NCBI's taxonomy places the organism in Eukaryota, Fungi, Basidiomycota, Agaricomycetes, Agaricales, Mycenaceae. The record is from the annotation of a GenBank genome assembly.
GCCGUCGUGGGCCAUGGCGGCCGCCUCCCAAGAUUAUUUUGUGAAUUUUGUAGCGUCCCUUGCAAGGAGGGAGGUGGAGGUUCGAAUCCUCCCGAUGGCA